UGCCAGCCGCCGCGGUAAUACGUAGGGGGCAAGCGUUGUCCGGAUUUAUUGGGCGUAAAGAGCGUGUAGGCGGCUUUGCAGGUCCGUUGUGAAAACUCGAGGCUCAACCUCGAGACGCCGGUGGAAACCGCAAAGCUAGAGUCCGGAAGAGGAGAGUGGAAUUCCUGGUGUAGCGGUGAAAUGCGCAGAUAUCAGGAAGAACACCCGUGGCGAAGGCGGCUCUCUGGGACGGUACUGACGCUGAGACGCGAAAGCGUGGGGAGCGAACAGGAUUAGAUA
This 279-nucleotide ribosomal RNA is filed under the name uncultured bacterium. RNAcentral's name for it is "partial 16S ribosomal RNA". It matches the Rfam family "Bacterial small subunit ribosomal RNA", at positions 506 to 784 of the family's 1533-position model. The record is from RNAcentral.